RNAcentral lists this ribosomal RNA (253 nucleotides) under uncultured bacterium. RNAcentral's name for it is "partial 16S ribosomal RNA". It matches the Rfam family "Bacterial small subunit ribosomal RNA", at positions 524 to 776 of the family's 1533-position model. The record is from RNAcentral.
UACGUAGGGGGCCAGCGUUGUUCGGAAUUACUGGGCGUAAAGGGCUCGUAGGUUGCCAACUAAGUCAGACGUGAAAUCCCUCAGCUUAACUGGGGAACUGCGUCUGAUACUGGAUGGCUUGAGUUUGGGAGAGGGAUGCGGAAUUCCAGGUGUAGCGGUGAAAUGCGUAGAUAUCUGGAGGAACACCGGUGGCGAAGGCGGCAUCCUGGACCAACACUGACACUGAGGAGCGAAAGCCAGGGGAGCAAACAGG